RNAcentral lists this ribosomal RNA (693 nucleotides) under Vibrio parahaemolyticus. RNAcentral describes it as "partial 23S ribosomal RNA". It matches the Rfam family "Bacterial large subunit ribosomal RNA", at positions 586 to 1282 of the family's 2925-position model. Lineage: Bacteria; Pseudomonadati; Pseudomonadota; Gammaproteobacteria; Vibrionales; Vibrionaceae. The record is from RNAcentral.
UUGUCCUGUGACUGCGUACCUUUUGUAUAAUGGGUCAGCGACUUAUAUUCAGUGGCAAGGUUAACCAUCUAGGGGAGCCGUAGGGAAACCGAGUCUUAACUGGGCGUUCAGUCUCUGGAUAUAGACCCGAAACCAGGUGAUCUAGCCAUGGGCAGGUUGAAGGUUGAGUAACAUCAACUGGAGGACCGAACCGACUAAUGUUGAAAAAUUAGCGGAUGACUUGUGGCUAGGGGUGAAAGGCCAAUCAAACCUGGAGAUAGCUGGUUCUCCCCGAAAGCUAUUUAGGUAGCGCCUCGGACGAAUACUACUGGGGGUAGAGCACUGUUAAGGCUAGGGGGUCAUCCCGACUUACCAACCCUUUGCAAACUCCGAAUACCAGUAAGUACUAUCCGGGAGACACACGGCGGGUGCUAACGUCCGUCGUGGAGAGGGAAACAACCCAGACCGCCAGCUAAGGUCCCAAAUUACUACUAAGUGGGAAACGAUGUGGGAAGGCUCAGACAGCCAGGAUGUUGGCUUAGAAGCAGCCAUCAUUUAAAGAAAGCGUAAUAGCUCACUGGUCGAGUCGGCCUGCGCGGAAGAUGUAACGGGGCUAAGUAGUAAACCGAAGCUGCGGCAAUGUGCUUUUGCACAUUGGGUAGGGGAGCGUUCUGUAAGCGGUUGAAGGUGUGUGGUAACGCAUGCUGGACGUAU